RNAcentral lists this ribosomal RNA (490 nucleotides) under uncultured bacterium. Its description in RNAcentral is "partial 16S ribosomal RNA". It matches the Rfam family "Bacterial small subunit ribosomal RNA", at positions 30 to 507 of the family's 1533-position model. The record is from RNAcentral.
AUUGAACGCUGGCGGCAUGCCUUACACAUGCAAGUCGAACGGCAGCAUGAUCUAGCUUGCUAGAUUGAUGGCGAGUGGCGAACGGGUGAGUAAUACAUCGGAACGUGCCCUGUAGUGGGGGAUAACUAGUCGAAAGAUUAGCUAAUACCGCAUACGACCUGAGGGUGAAAGUGGGGGACCGCAAGGCCUCAUGCUAUAGGAGCGGCCGAUGUCUGAUUAGCUAGUUGGUGAGGUAAAGGCUCACCAAGGCGACGAUCAGUAGCUGGUCUGAGAGGACGAUCAGCCACACUGGGACUGAGACACGGCCCAGACUCCUACGGGAGGCAGCAGUGGAGAAUUUUGGACAAUGGGCGAAAGCCUGAUCCAGCAAUGCCGCGUGUGUGAAGAAGGCCUUCGGGUUGUAAAGCACUUUUGUCCGGAAAGAAAUGGCUCUGGUUAAUACCUGGGGUCGAUGACGGUACCGGAAGAAUAAGGACCGGCUAACUACGUG